Molecule: long non-coding RNA, 152 nt
Organism: Danio aesculapii
Lineage: Eukaryota; Metazoa; Chordata; Actinopteri; Cypriniformes; Danionidae
Exons: 3
Source: RefSeq, a predicted model, not a curated record
AGGAGACUCACAAGGGGAACGGUGGAGAUAUACUUGAAGACCUGGAGCUCAGGAAGCAGGUUGGCAUGGAGCUUGUGGAGGAACAGGGAAACACACCUCAGUAAUGACAAGUGCAUUAGCAAGUGUCACAGAAGGGACAGGAUUCAGGGGAG